CGGGGGCACGGGGGGCCUACGGGGAGGCAGCAGUCGGGGAAUUUUGGGCAAUGGGCGGAAAGCCUGACCCAGCAACGCCGCGUGAAGGAUGAAAUCCUUCGGGAUGUAAACUUCGUAAGAACAGGAAGAAUAAGUAAGAGUCAAUAUCUCUUACGAUGACGGUACUGUUUGUAAGCUCCGGCUAACUCCGUGCC
Molecule: ribosomal RNA, 194 nt
Filed under: uncultured bacterium
Lineage: Bacteria
Description: partial 16S ribosomal RNA
Rfam family: Bacterial small subunit ribosomal RNA
Source: RNAcentral